Molecule: long non-coding RNA, 4362 nt
Organism: Oncorhynchus tshawytscha (Chinook salmon)
Lineage: Eukaryota; Metazoa; Chordata; Actinopteri; Salmoniformes; Salmonidae
Source: Ensembl
UGCAAAGCAGCAAGUUGAUCUCUAACUUGCUCCCACUAAUAGCUGGAAUACUACAGACAGAUUGUAAACACACAACUUUCACAGCAGGGGUGUGCUAUUGCUGCUUUUACUCUGCCAUAGGAGUUGGCACAAGAUAAACAGUUUCUUCUGCAGGUAUCAACUGCGAUCAAGAUGGGCAAUGAGCAUUCUAAAAACAAGGCUGAGCAGGCUCCAGAAAAGCCCCUGCAUGGAGGAUUGAAUGGCCAUGCUGUAAGCAUCUCAUCCAAUGGCCUGGAGAAUGUUAUCAGUGAAGCAGCUGUGGAGCAGAACAGUAUGCCUCCCUCACUGCCUCCCUCUGAAGAGUCAGGUAUAGUGGAGGCAGAUGGCAGUGGUCUUGGGCCUGUGGUGGUGGAACAGAAGUCUGCCAUCAAGGAGGUUCCAGAAGUGGAACCAGAGACACAGAAUGCUAAGACUCAAAACACACCGGAACCAGAACUGGAACCAGCCACCCAAGAGAAGGAGGAGCCCAAGAACAGUACGAAAGAAAAAGUGAACAUCUUUGAAAAUCUGUUCAAGAAGAAAGCUAAGCCUCAACCCACCCCCAACCCGGAUCCAGCCCUGGAAAAGGAGGAAACCAUAAAGGACAAGAUUGUGGAGGAGAUUGAAAGUUCUGCAGAAGAUCAGAAAGUCCCUGUGGCUGUGACCGAUGGGAUCCAAGCUGAGCCACUUGCUGAGGUAAAGGAGGAUACAGAGACUUCAAAGGAGCGUCCCAACCCUAGUCCAGAGGCAGAGGAGGUCAAAAGCCCCAAAAUUGCAGAGGAAAGCAGUCACAUUCAGGAAAACCAAGAGGGAGAGAGUCAAACAGAAGAGAAUCCAGUUAUGAACUUCUUCAAAACACUAAAAGAGGCCCAACCAACAACAACAACUACUGCUGCACAACUAGUGGAUGCUCCAGCAACAGCCAAAGGAGGAAUGUCAAUCCCACCAGCCCCAGCCCCAGCCCCAUCCCCAGCCCCAGCCCCAGCCCCAGCCCCAGCCCCAGCCCCAGCCCCAUCCCCAGCCCCAGCCCCAGCCCCAGCCCCAGCCCCAGCCCUAGGCUCAUGUAAGAUGGAGGUUAAAGCAGAACUAGCUGCCCAAUCUGUGACCAACACACCAAACGAAGAACCAAAGGGUGCUGCCAAAGAACCAGAGGCCGCCAAGCCGAAAUCUGACCGCCCGUUCAGCAGACUUUUCAGCAGAAAGGUAAGCCAACUCCUGUAGAACAAGGCACUUAGAAGCAUUCUUUGGCAGCAGAUAAUAUUUUGUAAAAGAGAACAUAAAACAUAAAUGUGUGUCAGAUUGUAACAGUUUGAUGUGAAUUUGAGGCACUGAUAGGCCUCAAGUCUAAAAUCAAGGUUAAGUCAACAAGUGGAGCCAGAGCCCCUGCCAAGCCUGCUGCAGCGGUAUGACAAUACAACAUUCAGCCAUUUUGAAACUAACAGAGUUAAGCUCACUGUGACAUCCUUCAUUUCCUUUAACUGUAUUCAAAUCAUUGCAUCUUGUGGGUACAAUAUCUACCAGCUACAUCACACAGACUGCUGCCCUUUCUCUUGAGCAGAGCAUCAAUACAGAUAUCAAACAAAACAGUCUCUCAGAGCAGUCCCUCAGAGCAUUCCUGUAAAUGUAAAUCUAUCCCGAUACUUCCAGUGACAUAAUGUGACAUUCCAUAGAGUUUUAUUGCUUAUGUUUUUCUCAAUGUGGAAUCAACACACUUUAGAUAGUGCUGCAUUUAGCUGGACUGAUGGCAUGACUUGUGGAGAAUGGGCUGAGGUCUGCAUCUCUUCAUUCAUCAUCUGUGAACAUAAAUAGCAUAACAGCAUCCCAAACAACAUCAGAAAUCCAACAAAAUCUAAUUCAGUCAUUUUAACCCAACGAAACAGCAGACCAAGUAUUAAUUUCAUACAGAAACUGAAUUACAUUUUCAUUCGGACUGUAUGUGUUCAUACAGAAACUGAAUUACAUUUUCAUUCGGACUGUAUGUGUUCAUACAGAAACUGAAUUACAUUUUCAUUCGGACUGUAUGUGUUCAUACAGAAACUGAAUUACAUUUUCAUUCGGACUGUAUGUGUUCAUACAGAAACUGAAUUACAUUUUCAUUCUGACUGUAUGUGUUCAUACAGAAACUGAAUUACAUUUUCAUUCUGACUGUAUGUGUUCAUACAGAAACUGAAUUACAUUUUCAUUCUGACUGUAUGUGUGCAUGUGCGACUUUGUGUCUUUAUUUGUGUGGUGAACUGUGCUUCUACACACCUAUCCGUGCCUUGCCAUGCAGCCCAUAAAGUAGAAGGUCUAGUUAUAUGGCACAUGUUCAAAUUAACAUCGUUCUGCUCUCCUGUAGACAGUGGAACCAGUGGAGCCACAGCCGGUUGUGGAAGUACAGACAGUGGAACCAGUGGAGCCACAACCGGUUGUGGAAGUACAGAAUGUAGACUUCUCAAAGACGGCCACUCUGGAGGCCUCUGCCACACUAGAACCACCACCACCAGAGGAAGAGAAGACACCUGCUGCCUCCAAAGCCUCUCCUUUCACUUCCUUUUCUCUUUUCAAGACAAAGGCAGCUGUGCCAAAAAAGGAAGUCCCUGCCCUAGCUGCAGAAGCGGUAGUUGAACCAAGUGUAGCCAAGGACGAACCAAAGGCCCCAGAGGACCCUGCUGUGGACAGCAAGCCCGUGUCAGAGCCCUCCGAGGUUAUGGAGAAUUCCCCCGUCCUCCCUAAGAGACUGGAGAAGAGGAACUCCAUCCACUUGUUCUUCAAAAACCUGGGCAAACGCCAGUCAGAUGCAGGAGUACAAACAGAACCAGAGAAGACCAAAUAAAACAGAAACACCCUUUCAAACAUCACAUGCCAUAUCUGGAAAUGAACUUUUGAUUUGUUAGAUACAUUAUGUUUCUGAUCACACUAUUGAUGUGGUAAGAGCAAGUGGUUUGAGGGAGAGAGGUGGACUGUGGACUAGUCUGUUCUAGUCUAAUCUUUGUGGACAAUUUCAGAGAAUUGUUCUUUGUGGAGGAGGUAAAUAUAUUUUCUGGUUUUAAAGGCUUGAUAGGUAGAGAAAAGUGGUUUUGUAACAUAUACUGAGAGCAAAAUCAAUUUUCUAUACAGUAUGUACCCUUCUUUUAACAUACAUGUCAAACUCAUUCCACGGAGGGCUGAGUGUCUGCUGGUUUUUGUUCCUCCCUUGAUUGAUUAAUUAAGGUCACUAAUUAGUAAAGAACUCCCCUCACCUGGUUGUCUAAGGUCUUAAAAACGAAACACUCGCAGACACUAAGCCCUUCAUGGAAUGAGUUUGACAUCCCUGCUUUAACAUAUUAAUGUGUAAGGAUCUAAUGCAAAUAUUACGUUUAGCAUAUUUUUUUCCCUCUAUACGCAAUUUACUAGUCUGAAAAUAACUUGUGGAGUGCAUACAAUGGUUUCAGAUACAUUCAUAGGACGUCUUGGAGAAGAGAUGCAUAAAGCUUAGCUUGGAAUAGAGAGAUAGUAAUGGAAUAUACUCCAAAUGUAAUGGAGGAGUUGGUGAAAUGGUGGAUAUUCCUGCCAAGAUGUUUUUAUUUAGGCUAGACACAUGCAACUUACAAUGUAGGCUUUAAACUUUGCAGGAACUGUACACGGAUGCAAAUAUAUGCCAAACACUAAAUUACAAUAUAUGAUUAUAAUCAUACACAGGGGGACCUCACAAUCAUUACUUUUUUUGGGAACUACACAGAUCAUCUGGUAGUCUAUAUAGCUAACUGCACAGUCAUGAAUCAUAUUUGAUUAACGUUUCACUGAAGUAUAAAGGUUUGUUCUAAUUUGAGUGCACUGCUUUACAUGUGUGUGCCUGUUUGAAUGCAGAUGUUAUAAUCUUGGGUAUCUUGUCUGUUAAUUUCUGCACCUAUAAUUUGAUAAACUGGAUCUGGAAGUAGAAUAUUUAUUGUGACAGCAAUUUCCGAAUCAUGACAACCUGCAAUGGGGUAUAUGGGGGGGUUCUACUGAGCUAACAUGGAUUUUUUUUUAAAGAUCAUACCAUGGAUCCUUUAGCUAUUUAAUUUUUCAUUGGGGUAAAAUAUUGAAUUUGGCCUUUUAAUGCUACAACCUAUAGAAAUGCAUUGAAUAACACACUCAUAAAUGGCAAAACAGAGUACAAAAAUAAAUAAUAAGGAAUAUGUUUUUGAAUUGUCUGUCCUACAUCUAGGAGAUGUAAUAAAGUUCAGGAUUUACACAUUUAACCCAUUUUUUGGGGUGUCACAAAACUACUUCUAUAUUUGUUUUUAUGUUAAUUAGAUUGACGCACGGGUGCGUUGAUCAACUUUAGGGGUAUUUAAAGCUAUUUUUUUCUGUAACUGUUAAGAGAAUAAAUGUAUACAAUUA